UGGCCUUCUCAGCCUUUUGGCUAAGAUCAAGGGUAGUAUCUGUUCCUAUCAGUUUAAAAAAUACCAUUUGAUCAUUUAUCAGAAGAUCUGAGCUGUCCUCCAGAUGCAAUGACUGAUUAGCUCUUCCCCU
RNAcentral lists this small nuclear RNA (130 nucleotides) under Pteropus vampyrus (large flying fox). RNAcentral describes it as "U2 spliceosomal RNA (ENSPVAG00000030207.1)". The stretch from base 1 to 97 matches the Rfam family "U2 spliceosomal RNA". From Rfam's summary of the family: U2 is a small nuclear RNA (snRNA) component of the spliceosome (involved in pre-mRNA splicing). Lineage: Eukaryota; Metazoa; Chordata; Mammalia; Chiroptera; Pteropodidae. The record is from RNAcentral.